CUACGGGUUGCUGCAGUGGGGAAUAUUGGACAAUGGGGGAAACCCUGAUCCAGCAAUGCCGCGUGUGUGAAGAAGGCCUGCGGGUUGUAAAGCACUUUCGGUUGGGAGGACUGCUUCUAGCACUAAUAUUGUUGGAAGUUGACGUUACCUUCAGAAGAAGCACCGGCUAACUCCGUGCCAGCAGCCGCGGUAAUACCGAGGGUGGCAAGCGUUAAUCGGAAUUACUGGGCGUAAAGCGCGCGUAGGCGGCUAGAUCAGUCGGGUGUGAAAGCCCCGGGCUUAACCUGGGAACUGCAUCCGAUACUGUCUAGCUAGAGUACAGGAGAGGAGAGUGGAAUUCCACAUGUAGCGGUGAAAUGCGUAGAUAUGUGGAGGAACACCAAUGGCGAAGGCAGCUCUCUGGCCUGAUACUGACGCUGAGGUGCGAAAGCGUGGGGAGCAAACAGGAUUAGAUACCCUAGUAGUC
This 466-nucleotide ribosomal RNA is filed under the name uncultured bacterium. RNAcentral describes it as "partial 16S ribosomal RNA". It matches the Rfam family "Bacterial small subunit ribosomal RNA", at positions 339 to 795 of the family's 1533-position model. The record is from RNAcentral.